This 567-nucleotide ribosomal RNA is filed under the name uncultured bacterium. RNAcentral describes it as "partial 16S ribosomal RNA". It matches the Rfam family "Bacterial small subunit ribosomal RNA", at positions 355 to 914 of the family's 1533-position model. The record is from RNAcentral.
UGGGGAAUUUUGGACAAUGGGCGAAAGCCUGAUCCAGCAAUGCCGCGUGUGUGAAGAAGGCCUUCGGGUUGUAAAGCACUUUUGUCCGGAAAGAAAUGGCUCUGAUUAAUACCUGGGGUCGAUGACGGUACCGGAAGAAUAAGGACCGGCUAACUACGUGCCAGCAGCUGCGGUAAUACGUAGGGUCCAAGCGUUAAUCGGAAUUACUGGGCGUAAAGCGUGCGCAGGCGGUUGUGCAAGACCGAUGUGAAAUCCCCGAGCUUAACUUGGGAAUUGCAUUGGUGACUGCACGGCUAGAGUGUGUCAGAGGGGGGUAGAAUUCCACGUGUAGCAGUGAAAUGCGUAGAGAUGUGGAGGAAUACCGAUGGCGAAGGCAGCCCCCUGGGAUAACACUGACGCUCAUGCACGAAAGCGUGGGGAGCAAACAGGAUUAGAUACCCUGGUAGUCCACGCCCUAAACGAUGUCAACUAGUUGUUGGGGAUUCAUUUCCUUAGUAACGUAGCUAACGCGUGAAGUUGACCGCCUGGGGAGUACGGUCGCAAGGAUUAAAACUUAAAGGAAUUGAC